Molecule: regulatory RNA element, 107 nt
Organism: Clostridium pasteurianum BC1
Lineage: Bacteria; Bacillati; Bacillota; Clostridia; Eubacteriales; Clostridiaceae
Rfam family: SAM riboswitch aptamer (S box leader)
About the family: The SAM riboswitch is found upstream of a number of genes which code for proteins involved in methionine or cysteine biosynthesis in Gram-positive bacteria. The SAM riboswitch acts at the level of transcription termination control. The predicted structure consists of a complex stem-loop region followed by a single stem loop terminator region.
Source: Rfam
AUCUUAUCCAGAGUGGUAGAGGGACUGGCCCGUUGAAACCCGACAACCAGCAUUGUUUUUAAUGUGUAUGGUGUUAAUUCCAGCAGAUUGUUUCUGAAAGAUAAGGA